UACGGAGGGUGCAAGCGUUGUUCGGAAUUAUUGGGCGUAAAGGGCGCGUAGGCGGUUGUGAUAGUCAGAUGUGAAAUCCUCCGGCUUAACUGGAGAACUGCAUCUGAAACUUCAUAGCUAGAGUACAGGAGAGGGAAACGGAAUUCCCGGUGUAGAGGUGGAAUUCGUAGAUAUCGGGAGGAACACCAGUGGCGAAGGCGGUUUCCUGGCCUGAUACUGACGCUGAGGCGCGAAAGCGUGGAGAGCAAACAGGAUUAGAUACCCGGGUAGUCCCU
This 275-nucleotide ribosomal RNA is filed under the name uncultured prokaryote. Its description in RNAcentral is "partial 16S ribosomal RNA". It matches the Rfam family "Bacterial small subunit ribosomal RNA", at positions 524 to 798 of the family's 1533-position model. The record is from RNAcentral.